GGGUCUUCUUUUGUCCUCCUCUCUCCUUCCCCCUUACUCCCCCUUCUCUCUCUCCUCUCACGGCUCAAUCUAUUGUGCUGGCUGUGUUCCGUCAGGACCCUUCCAGAUGCCUCUGGCUGAUCUCUCCCUCAUAUUACAAUUAAAAACAAAACAAAACAAAACAAAACAAAAAACCCUUCCCCUCAAUCAAACCUAAGAGCAGCCACGUCCUCACUUUCACUGAGUCAGCGCCAAAGAAAAGCUUGGGGCCCAGACCCAGUGGCGGAUGCUGCCUCAGAGGCAAACCUGGAACCAGGCAAACAUGUCUGGCUCCUGGGCAUCCACCUCCCAUUACUGUCCUGUGACCCUAUCUGUUCCUCCCAGAUCCUAGAGGAGCAGCUCGCUGUGUCCACAGAAGCAGAGAGUGGGGAAGGACCCGGGUUCUGUGGUAAUGUUUUGGCACUUGAGGAGGAAGAGAGCACCUGGCAUGCACUCUGGAGACGUGAGCAAAUGACUCAGGGAUUCCUCACCCAGAGCAGGGGAGGGAGCUCAGGGUUGUGCCUUACUGUACCAGUGAGGUAGGUACCUUGGUGAAGUAGCAUUCUCACUGGCAAAUGGGAAUCACUUCUUGUUUCUCACCGCACCUCUCCUGGGAGUGUGAUGGUCCUGGAGGUUGGUUUUCUUGUUUGGAUCAUGGGGCUGGGAGUCCUGUCUGCUGGGCCAGAGAGAGCCCUUCAGUUGUUCAUGACUUCGAUGGCCGUGCCACAGCCCUGUCUUCCCGACCUAAAUCAACAUGCACAGAGCCUGGAGUUCUGCACUAGCUCUGAGAUUAAGCGGUAGUGGGCCUGCGACCCCGAGCCCUGAAGACCUUGAUGUUUCUCUGAGAAGAGGGUUGGCUUCCUAUAUUACUGAGAGCUGGAAAAGGCACACUUCUUUCUCGGCCCACUCCACUUAGUACCGAAGGGCCUCUUUGCCCUUCUGACUGCGUCUCUCUGGGUUUCAUGUGUUGUUUGUACAGCUUCUGCCUGGUGGCUUCUGAAGCAGUCAAGAAAAGUGGGCCACCCCGGCCUGGUCACUUACCUCGGUUUAUUUGGCCCACCUUACUUCUGAACUUCUGACAAGCUGCUGUGUGUGCUGAGGGGAGAGUCACAGCCCUGGGAUGACAGAAGAAAGGAGGAGGCCUAAGACCCAGGCAUCCCCGGUCGUGGGCCAGGAGCUCAGGGAGCAAGUCUGCCCAAAGGCUGACUGGCCUUGACCUUGACAGCAUCCCACCUGCCCAGAGGCACUUGCCCUAGAGUGUCACUGUUGUUAGACUAUGCCUGGGCAGGAACCCCUGCCUCCCAGAACAGUGACCAGAUCAGCCAGCAGGGACCAGAGAAACAAAACAACAAAGCAAACUGGGCCCCUCGGCUCCCAAGUGAGAGAGGCGGAGAUUCUGAGGACACUGGACAUGAGUGGGAGGUGUCUGGGUUCUGGAGAGGUGGCCCAGGACAAAACAGCUCAAGAAGCAUCUGUACACAUACCAGUAGAUAUGUGUUCACCCAUGACCAGCUAGCCCUGAUUCCAGAGCACUAGGCUUCCCGUUUGUCAUGGAGAAAUUAUUAAUUAGUUAAGAUUUCAGCUUUUGGGUCUUUUAAGUUUUAUUUUUCAUUAUUUUUUUUUUAAUAUUAGCACAUAAGGUAAUAGGCACCCUAAGAGUUCCAUACAUCGUUUUGUUUAUUCUCUUUCCUUCUCUCGUCUCCCCUCCCCCCUCCUUCCCCUCCACAUAGCUUUCUUCCUCUUUCAAGUCUCAGGUAUUGGCUCACUGUCGUCGUCUCCCUCCCCACAACCUUCCCAGAAGACACAUAUAGAAAUUAAAACCUGGGAUGCACACAUGA
Molecule: small RNA, 1856 nt
Filed under: Rattus norvegicus (Norway rat)
Lineage: Eukaryota; Metazoa; Chordata; Mammalia; Rodentia; Muridae
Description: uncharacterized LOC108349047
Source: RNAcentral